Pelobates cultripes (western spadefoot toad) is the source of this 168-nucleotide non-coding RNA. The record is from the annotation of a GenBank genome assembly. Lineage: Eukaryota; Metazoa; Chordata; Amphibia; Anura; Pelobatidae.
GCAGACACAUUCCAGCCAAUCAGCAGCAGACCCUCCCUCCCAGACCCUUCCACCUCCUGGACAGCUCACUAAGAAUGCAGCUUCACAAUGAAUGUAAAAUGGAUGCUGUCCAGGAGGUGGGAGGGUCUGGGAGGGAGGGUCUGCUGCUGAUUGGCUGGAAAGUGUCUG